Non-coding RNA from Monodelphis domestica (gray short-tailed opossum), 635 nucleotides. Lineage: Eukaryota; Metazoa; Chordata; Mammalia; Didelphimorphia; Didelphidae. The record is from RefSeq and is a predicted model, not a curated record.
CUUAAGUUCCAGGCUAUUCACAGCAGCUCCCCGCUGGGGUCAGGUGGAUAUACAAAAGGGCGGGUAGCCACAGAAAGGAUUUUUGCUCUGGUUCUGUCAAAGGAGUUUCCAAAACUCCUCCCCAAGAACUGGAGUGUGUGCCAGGGCCGAGUCCUCACAAUGGGGAGGAGCCAGGAGAGACCACGCCCCAUUACAGCAAUUCUCCAACUCACUCCUGCAGUUUCAGUAAGGAGGGGAAGUGGAAACCUCAGCGCGAUCUGCUUCACGCCCACUCGACUUCAGCAAGUAGGGGUCCGAGCAAAAAGAGGAAAUACGCGUGCGCACUCCCGUCCACCUUCACGACUCCAGGACUCCGUAGCAGGGCGCGGCAGAAAACGUUGCAGAGACCUCUCCAGGAGCCAAUCCUGAACCUCCCAGAAUACACCGUGCUCUGCAGCAAGGCAUUCGGGGAAAUGUAGUCUGAGCCCGAAUUCCAUCCCCCAGCAGGCACAACGGUGCCCCUCCCCUUCCAAUCCCAGGAGAAAACAAAAGCUUUGUCCUGCCCGAGUUUUCAUUGGACAAGUCAAGGCCCCGCCCUGCCCCGGGCCUGGCCUAAGUUUCCUACUCAGUAAAAAUAGUGGUUUCGCCUCAUAGAA